GAUGAAGAACGCAGCGAAAUGCGAUACGUAAUGUGAAUUGCAGAAUUCAGUGAAUCAUCGAAUCUUUGAACGCAUAUUGCGCUCUCUGGUAUUCCGGAGAGCAUGCUUGUUUGAGUAUCAGUAAACACCUCAACUCCCUUUUCUUUUUUGAAAUGGGAGCUGGACUUGAGUGAUCCCAACGCUUUUCUCACCGGAAAGUGGCGGGUUACUUGAAAUGCAGGUGCAGCUGGACUUUUCUCUGAGCUAUAAGCAUAUCUAUUUAGUCUGCCUAAAAACAGAUUAUUACCUUUGCUGGAGCUAACAUAAAGGAGAUUAGUUCUUGUGCUGACUGAUGCAGGAUUCACAGAGACAGCUUCGGCUGACUUUGUAAACUCGAUCUCAAAUCAAGUAAGACUACCCGCUGAACUUAAGCAUAUCAAUAAGCGGAGGA
RNAcentral lists this unclassified non-coding RNA (430 nucleotides) under soil metagenome. Its description in RNAcentral is "partial contains 5.8S ribosomal RNA, internal transcribed spacer 2, and large subunit ribosomal RNA". The stretch from base 1 to 120 matches the Rfam family "5.8S ribosomal RNA", at positions 35 to 154 of the family's 154-position model. The record is from RNAcentral.